GGUAUGUCCAUGGGGGUAAGUGUGGAGAAUUCUGUGAUACAUGUCCAUACCAAGAACGGCUUGGCCGAAAUAUUUUAAAACGCAAAUAGCUGAUUGAUAGACCAUAACUUAUGAGGUCAAAACUCCCAUUCACAGCUUGGGCCACACGAAAUUUACAUUCACCUAAGUUAAUACGCAUCAGGCCAUUUAGUGAGCAUAGAUAUC
Molecule: long non-coding RNA, 204 nt
Filed under: Brassica napus (rape)
Lineage: Eukaryota; Viridiplantae; Streptophyta; Magnoliopsida; Brassicales; Brassicaceae
Description: long non-coding RNA (BNAP_LNC014499)
Source: RNAcentral